Molecule: ribosomal RNA, 468 nt
Filed under: uncultured bacterium
Lineage: Bacteria
Description: partial 16S ribosomal RNA
Rfam family: Bacterial small subunit ribosomal RNA
Source: RNAcentral
GACGAACGCUGGCGGCGUGCUUAACACAUGCAAGUCGAACGGAAAGGCCCUGCUUUUGUGGGGUGCUCGAGUGGCGAACGGGUGAGUAACACGUGAGUAACCUGCCCUUGACUUUGGGAUAACUUCAGGAAACUGGGGCUAAUACCGGAUAGGAGCUCCUGCUGCAUGGUGGGGGUUGGAAAGUUUCGGCGGUUGGGGAUGGACUCGCGGCUUAUCAGCUUGUUGGUGGGGUAGUGGCUUACCAAGGCUUUGACGGAUAGCCGGCCUGAGAGGGUGACCGGCCACAUUGGGACUGAGAUACGCCCCAGACUCCUACGGGAGGCAGCAGUGGGGAAUAUUGCACAAUGGGCGGAAGCCUGAUGCAGCAACGCCGCGUGCGGGAUGACGGCCUUCGGGUUGUAAACCGCUUUCGCCUGUGACGAAGCGUGAGUGACGGUAAUGGGUAAAGAAGCACCGGCUAACUACGUG